UUUCAGGGGUGGCAGAGGUGGUGGAGGGUUCAGAGGAGGACGAGGUGGUGGAGGUGGCCGAGGUUUUAGAGGCAGAGGACGUUAAGUGAAGUUCUGGGAAAUUCCAAGUCAAUGGUUUCAUCUUCAGGAUAUAAUGAGAGAUCUUUUUUAUGAACUUGGAACGCCAUAAAGUGGACUUUUAAUACGUUAUUGUCUAAAGGAGUGAAGUACUCUCACACGUGUUCCUGGAUUUCUACUGAGAUGAACCAAUUUCUGAUCUACAGAUACUUCUCUUGAAAUCUCCUUGGACCCCUUGUGCUCUUGACAUUAAACAGAAUGUUGUUUUUAAACACUUUUUAUGAGCUAUAUUUUCUAUUUUUUUUAGUCAAAAACUCAACUUGAAGUUGGGAAACCAGUGACUUCCUGAACAAUAGAAGAUGGUCAGCUCGAUAUAUUUUUUAUUUUUUAUUAUCCGUCUUUGUAUUUUGGUUUUGUGUCAAUCUUCAAAUCGUGUUUCAUGGAUUCAUACAAAAUUGUAUCAAAACAACUUGAAUAUGCUUUUGCAGUUAUAUUUAACUUGGCUGUCUAAUGAAUGAUAUGUCUAAAUGACAAAAGUUUUUUGUUUUUUAAAAAUAAAACUGGUAAUAGCUUAG
Molecule: long non-coding RNA, 632 nt
Organism: Lacerta agilis (Sand lizard)
Lineage: Eukaryota; Metazoa; Chordata; Lepidosauria; Squamata; Lacertidae
Exons: 2
Source: RefSeq, a predicted model, not a curated record